UUUCGCAAUGCCCGAAAGGGUGACGAAGCGACGCCGCGUGAGUGAGGAAGGCCUUCGGGUUGUAAAGCUCUGUCAGGAGUUAAGAAAUAUAAAUGUGUUAAUACCAUAUUUAUUUGACGAAGGCUCCAAAGGAAGCCACGGCUAACUCUGUGCCAGCAGCCGCGGUAAUACAGAGGUGGCAAGCGUUGUUCGGAAUUAUUGGGCGUAAAGAGCACGUAGGUGGGUUUGUAAGUCAGAUGUGAAAGCCUUCUGUUCAACGGAAGAAUUGCAUCUGAAACUGCGAGUCUUGAGUGUAGGAGGGGAGAAUGGAACUUCUGGUGGAGCGGUGAAAUGCGUAGAUAUCAGAAGGAACGCCGGCGGCGAAAGCGAUUCUCUGGCCUAUUACUGACACUCAGUGUGCGAAAGCUAGGGGAGCAAACGGGAUUAGAUACCCCGGUAGUCCUAGCCGUAAACGAUGGGCACUAAGUAGAGGGGUUUUA
RNAcentral lists this ribosomal RNA (479 nucleotides) under uncultured anaerobic ammonium-oxidizing bacterium. Its description in RNAcentral is "bacterial SSU rRNA". It matches the Rfam family "Bacterial small subunit ribosomal RNA", at positions 364 to 833 of the family's 1533-position model. The record is from RNAcentral.